UACGUAGGGGGCGAGCGUUGUCCGGAAUCAUUGGGCGUAAAGAGCUCGUAGGCGGUUUCGUAAGUCGGCGGUGAAAGCUUGGGACUCAACCCCAAGAGGCCCGUUGAUACUACGAUGACUUGAGUCCGGUAGAGGAGUGUGGAACUCCUGGUGUAGCGGUGAAAUGCGCAGAUAUCAGGAAGAACACCGGUGGCGAAGGCGGCACUCUGGGCCGGUACUGACGCUGAGGAGCGAAAGCUAGGGGAGCAAACAGG
Molecule: ribosomal RNA, 254 nt
Filed under: uncultured bacterium
Lineage: Bacteria
Description: partial 16S ribosomal RNA
Rfam family: Bacterial small subunit ribosomal RNA
Source: RNAcentral